This 497-nucleotide ribosomal RNA is filed under the name uncultured bacterium. Its description in RNAcentral is "partial 16S ribosomal RNA". It matches the Rfam family "Bacterial small subunit ribosomal RNA", at positions 28 to 507 of the family's 1533-position model. The record is from RNAcentral.
GAUGAACGCUGGCGGCGUGCCUAAUACAUGCAAGUCGAGCGGACGGACGAUAAGCUUGCGUCGCUGAUGUUAGCGGAGGACGGGUGAGUAACACGUGGAUAACCUACUUAUAAGACUGGGAUAAUUUCGGGAAACCGGAUCUAAUAGCGGAGAAUAUUUUGAACCGCAUGGUUCAAAAGUGAAAGUCGGCCUUGCUGGCACGUAUAGAUGGAUCCGCGCUUCAUGAGGUAGUUGGUAAGUUAACGGCUUAUCAAGGCGACGAUGCAUAGACGACCUAAGAGGCUGAUCGGCCACACUGGAACGGAGACACGGUCAAGACUCCUACGGGAGGCAGCAGUCGGCAAUCUUCCGCAAUGGGCGAAAGCCUGACGCAGCAACGCCGCGUGAGUGAUGAAGGUCUUCGGAUCGUAAAGCUCUGUUAUUAGGGGAGAACAUCUGUGUACGUAACUGUGGCCAUCUUGACGGUACCUAGUCAGAAAGCCCCGGCUAACUACGUG